This 744-nucleotide ribosomal RNA is filed under the name Teratosphaeria angophorae. RNAcentral describes it as "eukaryotic LSU rRNA". It matches the Rfam family "Eukaryotic large subunit ribosomal RNA", at positions 95 to 871 of the family's 3401-position model. Lineage: Eukaryota; Fungi; Ascomycota; Dothideomycetes; Mycosphaerellales; Teratosphaeriaceae. The record is from RNAcentral.
GAAGCGGCAACAGCUCAAAUUUGAAAUCUGGCGCAAGCCCGAGUUGUAAUUUGUAGAGGAUGCUUCAGGGCAGCGGCCGGUCUAAGUUCCUUGGAACAGGACGUCAUAGAGGGUGAGAAUCCCGUAUGCGACCGGUUGGCACCCGUCACGUAGCUCCUUCGACGAGUCGAGUUGUUUGGGAAUGCAGCUCUAAAUGGGAGGUAAAUUUCUUCUAAAGCUAAAUAUUGGCCAGAGACCGAUAGCGCACAAGUAGAGUGAUCGAAAGAUGAAAAGCACUUUGGAAAGAGAGUUAAAAAGCACGUGAAAUUGUUGAAAGGGAAGCGCAUGCAACCAGACUUGUCGGCGGCGUUCCGCCGGUCUUCUGACCGGUCUAUUCGUCGCCGGCAGGCCAGCAUCAUCUGGGCGCGCCGGACAAAGGCGUGGGGAAUGUAGCUCCUCGGAGUGUUAUAGCCCCGCGCACAAUACGGCGCCGCCCGGGUGAGGUCCGCGCUUCGGCUAGGAUGCUGGCGUAAUGGUUGUCUGCGGCCCGUCUUGAAACACGGACCAAGGAGUCUAACAUCUAUGCGAGUGUUCGGGUGUCAAACCCCUACGCGUAAUGAAAGUGAACGGAGGUGGGACGCGCACGCGGCACCAUCGACCGAUCCUGAUGUCUUCGGAUGGAUUUGAGUAAGAGCAUAGCUGUUGGGACCCGAAAGAUGGUGAACUAUGCCUGAAUAGGGUGAAGCCAGAGGAAACUCUGGUGGA